This is a long non-coding RNA of Asparagus officinalis (garden asparagus), 765 nucleotides long. RefSeq lists it as uncharacterized. Lineage: Eukaryota; Viridiplantae; Streptophyta; Magnoliopsida; Asparagales; Asparagaceae. The transcript is spliced from 2 exons. The record is from RefSeq and is a predicted model, not a curated record.
AAAAUAUCACCGAAGAGGAGUUAAAGGCUUCGUGACCAUUCUCUCUCUCCCAAUUCCAAAACACUUAUCCCAAAUUCCAUCCCCAUCGCCGACUUCCCCCAAAUCCAUCCCCGUCACCGCUAACCGAACCCUCCCCCAACUCCGGAGUCCCCGUCACCGCCGACCGACCUCCUCCAUCAACGCAGUAAAGCCCUCGACUCCUCCCCCAACUCCGGCUCCAAGUCACCGCCGACCGACCUCCUCCAUCAAGCCAUCAAGCCACCGACCUCUCCCCCAACUCCGGCUCCAAGUCACCGCCGACCGACCUCCUCCAUCAAGCCAUCAAGCCACCGACCUCUCCCCCAACUCCGGCUCCAAGUCACCGCCGGUCAUUAAAGGAGUAUUGGAAUUUUCAAUCGUGCACAAUGCAGCGUUAUUUGCUUCGCUUGCUAUUCAAAGAGGAUUAGUAUAAUUGAUUCAGAUACUGUAUUCAAGAAUGAAAAUUUGCAGACGUGAUGUUUGAUUCAGAUAGAUGCAGGAAUUUGUUGUCUCCUACUUGAUGUAUAAUAGCUGUUGUAACUAAACUAUGUUUGAUUGUAGCUCUGUUAUUACUCACUGAUUGUAACUAAACUAUGUUUGAUUGUAGUUGCUCGUGCAACUUGUCAAUUUGAGAAUGUUUCUCAAAUUCUGCCUUUUGAGUCAAAUUCUAGCUUGUAAUUUUUUUUUGUUUGAAUUUCAUUUGACAGGCUUCAGUUUGUGCUUCAGAAUUGUAGCUUUGUUGAUGAA